AUCCANGAGGCAGCAGGCGCGCAAAUUACUCAAUGUCAAUUCGACGAAGUAGUGACGAGAAAUAACAGUGGGGUGGGCUCAGCCUACUCUUUCUGUAAUGAGAGCAAUCUAAAACCCUCAUCGAGGAUCAACUGGAGGGCAAGUCUGGUGCCAGCAGCCGCGGUAACUCCAGCUCCGGUAGCGUGUAUUAAAGUUGUUGCAGUUAAAAAGCUCGUAGUUGAAGUAUUGGUAGGACGGACCAGGCCUUUUGACGAAUGUCGACUGUUGCUUUGCGUUUGAUCUGGCCAUCGUUGUCCGUUUGCGCUCUUUGUGGGCGUGGGUGGGCAUCAUUUACUGUAAAAAAAUUAGAGUGUUUCAAGCAAAUCGUAUGGUUGGAAUAGAGUAGUAUGGAAUAAUAAGAUAGGACUUUGUUGCUAUUUUGUUGGUUUGCACAUCAAAGUAAUGAUUAACAGGGACAGUUGGGGGUAUUCGUAUUUGGUUGUCAGAGGUGAAAUUCUUGGAUUUACAAAAGACGAACAACUGCGAAAGCAUUUACCAAGGAUGUUUUCAUUAAUCAAGAACGAAAGUUAGGGGAUCGAAGAUGAUU
Molecule: ribosomal RNA, 586 nt
Filed under: Thraustochytriidae sp. ANACC TC_010
Lineage: Eukaryota; Bigyra; Thraustochytrida; Thraustochytriidae
Description: SSU rRNA
Rfam family: Eukaryotic small subunit ribosomal RNA
Source: RNAcentral